Topomyia yanbarensis is the source of this 959-nucleotide long non-coding RNA. RefSeq lists it as uncharacterized. The transcript is spliced from 4 exons. NCBI's taxonomy places the organism in Eukaryota, Metazoa, Arthropoda, Insecta, Diptera, Culicidae. The record is from RefSeq and is a predicted model, not a curated record.
UGACGUUUAGCUUAUGUUGCUUAUUGCUUUCAAUUGCAUAGCAAAUCUAAUUACAUUUAGCUGCUUUUUUGUUAAUAUUGAGCUUUAAAGUGAGGCCGCUACUCACAGCUAAACGGACCUAACAAGAUUAUUAAGAUCAUUCACUCGAUUCACCCAAUCCGCAUACGAUAAUCAGUAUCUGGGGAAGCAAAUCUGUCGAAGCGGUGGAAACCACGAACACGCAGAGGAAGAUUUGGAAGACAGCAUAAUAAGCGAGACAAAGUCAAACGGAUCGAGUGUCUGUUGGGGGAACACGUGCAUUUUUACACGACGGGGAUCGAAAAGGUCCCCGUUUUUGUACAUCGAACGAAGUCGUUCCGGUCAGUGCGUGGUGAGAGAUCCGCGACGAGCGAGGUGCGCGCCACCAUCGGAAAUACAGCACAUAGGCUGCUGAGCCGUGAACGGCAGAAUUGCUGGAUGGAUAUUGGGCGCUCAGUCGACCACGUGUUGCACAUCAUAGCAGGCGUGGCCAGGAUUAGAUGUCGUGCUUCUUCGUGUUAGAAACGCGGUGGACCAACGAACUAACCCGCCGAUUUUAGUAACGGCUGAUCAAAAGACACAAGACUGCUGCAAGACAAGCGUGGCGGACGAAGGGACAUAACGUGACGUGUGUAGUGUGGGCCCCCCGCUAAAGCGUAGAAAGAGGAAAGAGGAUAGAAGGAGAGGCGAAAGAAGAGAGAAAGAACAAGAUGCAGUAGGUUAACAAUAAAUGUAGUAGUUGGAUAAUGUGUCGUUGUUUUGUUGGUGCGUUCAGCUUAUUCCUUGUUUGGUGCUAGCGGCACAGUGAAGGCAUGUCCACAGCCGAAGGAAUAAAAUUAUUACACCAGAUAGUGGAGUAAGACAUUUUCAAUGUCAAAAAUUCCAAAAAAAAUAUAAUUUUGAUGUUGUUGCCCCAGAAUCACACAAUAUUUCUUAUAAAA